UACGUAGGGCGCAAGCGUUAUCCGGAAUUAUUGGGCGUAAAGAGCUCGUAGGCGGUUUGUCGCGUCGAAUGUGAAAACCCCGGGGGCUCAACCCCGGGCCUGCAUUCGAUACGGGCAGACUAGAGUUCGGUAGGGGAGUCUGGAAUUCCUGGUGUAGCGGUGAAAUGCGCAGAUAUCAGGAGGAACACCGGUGGCGAAGGCGGGACUCUGGGGCCGAUACUGACGCUGAGGAGCGAAAAGCGUGGGGGAGCAAAACAGG
Molecule: ribosomal RNA, 259 nt
Filed under: uncultured bacterium
Lineage: Bacteria
Description: partial 16S ribosomal RNA
Rfam family: Bacterial small subunit ribosomal RNA
Source: RNAcentral